Molecule: ribosomal RNA, 1549 nt
Filed under: Klebsiella pneumoniae
Lineage: Bacteria; Pseudomonadati; Pseudomonadota; Gammaproteobacteria; Enterobacterales; Enterobacteriaceae
Description: bacterial SSU rRNA
Rfam family: Bacterial small subunit ribosomal RNA
Source: RNAcentral
AAAUUGAAGAGUUUGAUCAUGGCUCAGAUUGAACGCUGGCGGCAGGCCUAACACAUGCAAGUCGAGCGGUAGCACAGAGAGCUUGCUCUCGGGUGACGAGCGGCGGACGGGUGAGUAAUGUCUGGGAAACUGCCUGAUGGAGGGGGGAUAACUACUGGAAACGGUAGCUAAUACCGCAUAAUGUCGCAAGACCAAAGUGGGGGACCUUCGGGCCUCAUGCCAUCAGAUGUGCCCAGAUGGGAUUAGCUAGUAGGUGGGGUAACGGCUCACCUAGGCGACGAUCCCUAGCUGGUCUGAGAGGAUGACCAGCCACACUGGAACUGAGACACGGUCCAGACUCCUACGGGAGGCAGCAGUGGGGAAUAUUGCACAAUGGGCGCAAGCCUGAUGCAGCCAUGCCGCGUGUGUGAAGAAGGCCUUCGGGUUGUAAAGCACUUUCAGCGGGGAGGAAGGCGGUGAGGUUAAUAACCUCAUCGAUUGACGUUACCCGCAGAAGAAGCACCGGCUAACUCCGUGCCAGCAGCCGCGGUAAUACGGAGGGUGCAAGCGUUAAUCGGAAUUACUGGGCGUAAAGCGCACGCAGGCGGUCUGUCAAGUCGGAUGUGAAAUCCCCGGGCUCAACCAGGGAACUGCAUUCGAAACUGGCAGGCUAGAGUCUUGUAGAGGGGGUAGAAUUCCAGGUGUAGCGGUGAAAUGCGUAGAGAUCUGGAGGAAUACCGGUGGCGAAGGCGGCCCCCUGGACAAAGACUGACGCUCAGGUGCGAAAGCGUGGGGAGCAAACAGGAUUAGAUACCCUGGUAGUCCACGCCGUAAACGAUGUCGAUUUGGAGGUUGUGCCCUUGAGGCGUGGCUUCCGGAGCUAACGCGUUAAAUCGACCGCCUGGGGAGUACGGCCGCAAGGUUAAAACUCAAAUGAAUUGACGGGGCCCGCACAAGCGGUGGAGCAUGUGGUUUAAUUCGAUGCAACGCGAAGAACCUUACCUGGUCUUGACAUCCACAGAACUUUCCAGAGAUGGAUUGGUGCCUUCGGGAACUGUGAGACAGGUGCUGCAUGGCUGUCGUCAGCUCGUGUUGUGAAAUGUUGGGUUAAGUCCCGCAACGAGCGCAACCCUUAUCCUUUGUUGCCAGCGGUUAGGCCGGGAACUCAAAGGAGACUGCCAGUGAUAAACUGGAGGAAGGUGGGGAUGACGUCAAGUCAUCAUGGCCCUUACGACCAGGGCUACACACGUGCUACAAUGGCAUAUACAAAGAGAAGCGACCUCGCGAGAGCAAGCGGACCUCAUAAAGUAUGUCGUAGUCCGGAUUGGAGUCUGCAACUCGACUCCAUGAAGUCGGAAUCGCUAGUAAUCGUAGAUCAGAAUGCUACGGUGAAUACGUUCCCGGGCCUUGUACACACCGCCCGUCACACCAUGGGAGUGGGUUGCAAAAGAAGUAGGUAGCUUAACCUUCGGGAGGGCGCUUACCACUUUGUGAUUCAUGACUGGGGUGAAGUCGUAACAAGGUAACCGUAGGGGAACCUGCGGUUGGAUCACCUCCUUACCUUAAAGAA